Molecule: transfer RNA, 68 nt
Filed under: Rivularia auriculata
Lineage: Eukaryota; Metazoa; Mollusca; Gastropoda; Architaenioglossa; Viviparidae
Also listed under: 2 other names
Description: tRNA-Met
Source: RNAcentral
UGUAAAAUAAGCUAAGAUUUCCAAGCUAUUGGGUUCAUACCCCAAAAAUGAACCGUGUUCUUUUACAU